AAUGGGUCAGCGACUUAUAUUCUGUAGCAAGGUUAACCGAAUAGGGGAGCCGAAGGGAAACCGAGUCUUAACUGGGCGUUAAGUUGCAGGGUAUAGACCCGAAACCCGGUGAUCUAGCCAUGGGCAGGUUGAAGGUUGGGUAACACUAACUGGAGGACCGAACCGACUAAUGUUGAAAAAUUAGCGGAUGACUUGUGGCUGGGGGUGAAAGGCCAAUCAAACCGGGAGAUAGCUGGUUCUCCCCGAAAGCUAUUUAGGUAGCGCCUCGUGAAUUCAUCUCCGGGGGUAGAGCACUGUUUCGGCAAGGGGGUCAUCCCGACUUACCAACCCGAUGCAAACUGCGAAUACCGGAGAAUGUUAUCACGGGAGACACACGGCGGGUGCUAACGUCCGUCGUGAAGAGGGAAACAACCCAGACCGCCAGCUAAGGUCCCAAAGUCAUGGUUAAGUGGGAAACGAUGUGGGAAGGCCCAGACAGCCAGGAUGUUGGCUUAGAAGCAGCCAUCAUUUAAAGAAAGCGUAAUAGCUCACUGGUCGAGUCGGCCUGCGCGGAAGAUGUAACGGGGCUAAACCAUGCACCGAAGCUGCGGCAGCGACACUAUGUGUUGUUGGGUAGGGGAGCGUUCUGUAAGCCUGUGAAGGUGUACUGUGAGGUAUGCUGGAGGUAUCAGAAGUGCGAAUGCUGACAUAAGUAACGAUAAAGCGGGUGAAAAGCCCGCUCGCCGGAAGACCAAGGGUUCCUGUCCAACGUUAAUCGGGGCAGGGUGAGUCGACCCCUAAGGCGAGGCCGAAAGGCGUAGUCGAUGGGAAACAGGUUAAUAUUCCUGUACUUGGUGUUACUGCGAAGGGGGGACGGAGAAGGCUAUGUUGGCCGGGCGACGGUUGUCCCGGUUUAAGCGUGUAGGCUGGUUUUCCAGGCAAAUCCGGAAAAUCAAGGCUGAGGCGUGAUGACGAGGCACUACGGUGCUGAAGCAACAAAUGCCCUGCUUCCAGGAAAAG
Molecule: ribosomal RNA, 999 nt
Filed under: Escherichia coli
Lineage: Bacteria; Pseudomonadati; Pseudomonadota; Gammaproteobacteria; Enterobacterales; Enterobacteriaceae
Description: bacterial LSU rRNA
Rfam family: Bacterial large subunit ribosomal RNA
Source: RNAcentral